Molecule: unclassified non-coding RNA, 3325 nt
Filed under: Leishmania donovani
Lineage: Eukaryota; Euglenozoa; Kinetoplastea; Trypanosomatida; Trypanosomatidae
Description: gene:LdHU3.33.1500(CDS-product:hypothetical_prote in_conserved)
Source: RNAcentral
CACUUCUAGGACUGAGGUCCCCCUCCCACGAGCGCGUGGGCCAGUGUGCAAUCCGCGCAGAUCAAUUAACCUCACCCCUGGUGGUGAGCUCCUGUGUUGCCUCCACUCUCAUUUUUUUUCUCUUGUGGUGGCGAGCACACGAGGGCAUGCAAGAUGCCGUCCUCUUCGCCUUUCUCUGCUUCAUUUUUCGAUAGCCUGUCGUACUCGCGACGAGGCGCCGGAAAGAACAGGGGCACACGCUCUCUUGCGCGCCGCUCCCAGGAGCUUGGAGCACAGCUGUGCGGCCGGCUGUCCCAGGUCGCGCUAGAGGUGAGCCCUGCAGCACUCACUUGCAUUGCAACCGCUGCUGCUGACGUCGGUGCGGGUACGCAUGCUAACGGUCCGCCUUUGGUGCCUUCAUUGUCUUCUGCCGCCUUCGCGCCGCUUUCCUUCAUGGCGGAUGUGCACCGUGACCUAUCCGCUCACUACGGCUCUCACGCAGUCCGGCGCGGCCUCGCUAAGCCACUCGGCCCGUGCGUGCAUCCGGUCCUUCGCAAAGGCAAUCUUGCCACUCAGCGCGCAGGAGUCCAUAGCCCCUGGUACAUGCGGGUGUGGCUACUGCGAUUGGUGCGUCGAUGCUGGUGCCCUCGCUGCGGUGUGUGGCUCAGCAGCGGCAGCGCGCCCAAGCUGUCCAAGCUCAAAACAAGCCGAACUACACUCGCCACAGUCAAGGAGUGCCGUGUGCGACGUCAGCUGCGCCCCUCACGUCUCUCCAUCAUACGCAGACGAUUCAUGCUGUGCUGCCUUCGCUGUCUCGACACAGCCCAACGCGCGGCGAAGAGAAACGCAACGCUCUCUCGGAUCGCCACGGGUGGGCAGCAGCAGAACGACAUCGCGGUCAGAAGCACCGUUGAGAACGCUUCACUGUUUACACAGCACGCCGCACGGGAGGCGUGCGCUGCAUGGGUUGAACAAACUUCAGCGGCUGUAUUGGCCGAGGCCCGAGUGCCCCGGCGAAACCGUCGCUGCCGCAGGCGCAGUAAACGACUCCGUCGCGGCAGGAUGGAAGAGACUAGGGCAGAGGCGAACGUGAUUGUGCGCGCUGGCUCUGGCGCCACUGCAGCGGUGCAUCAGCAGAGCAGCUUGGCAUCUCAAGUCACCCAACGGCUGGCUCUCUCGCUGACACGCAGCACGACGCCAUUGCCUGGCGUUGCGGGCGCUGGAAAGGCGACCAAGGCGUCAACAGUGAAGGUGCCAACGACUGUUAGCUUAGCCCACAAGAGUUUGCAGGGCUUGGUGCCAAGUGGCCCACUGAAGAAAAGCGUGCUGCGAGUCUAUGCCAAGGGGGCACCUCCACCAAGCUCAACGAACUUUCGGGUUACCGCCCCUGUCGCUUGCAGCCCCAGUGCGGCAGUCACAAAGCAUGCAGAGGUGGCUUCAUCGACCUUGCGAAUACGGCCACCGUUGCCAUCCCAGUCUAUCAUCGACGAUGCACAUGUGCGGAUCGCCGAUCAGCAAUUGGAGGCGGGGCAAGCGAAAAACACAAAGAUGAUUCGCAAAGCCACGAGCAGCGGGGGUAAGGAGCCCACAACAACGGCCUCUGUCGCAGGCCUGUCGCCAUCACCAACCGACUCGCUGCCGUCUUCAGCUCCUCCUGCUCCACUAGUGCCCUCAGCACCUGCGAAGGCAAUCGCGUCCACGUCGCGCGCAAUGGAUGCUGCAAAGAAGACUGCCCGACCACCUGCCAAGGCUGCAACCCUGACGAAGAAGCCGACCGCAGCAAAGAAGAAAUUCAUGGACACCAUGAGCCAGCUCGGAUUCUGAUGAGGUGCGGAGUUUGUGCGAGCGCUAGAAGCACAGAAAACGCCUUCGCACGGAUCGGUAGGGCAACAGCCGCGGCAGCACUCUCUCUGUGCGUCUCGACGCUGCUUCAGCUUUACACGCCACCACUACAGCCGCUAUUCUCAUGCUGCUGCCUCCUCUGUUGAUCUUACAGUUUUGCUCUCAGGAACCGUUCAUAGCGCACGUGACCUUUUUGCUUCUGUCUCUGCGAUUUCACCGACGACGGAGUGUGGGCGGCACCUCAGUGCGUGGCAUCUCCGGGCCCAGCGCACCUUCCCCCCCCCCACUCUCUCUCGGUCGGAGGAAGCCAUGCACUAUCCCCUCCCCUAUCCCCUGCCAAAUGCCGAGCCACCUCUGGCGCUGGCAGGGCGGUGCAUCGCUGCUGACAGCGGACCGCCAGGCCCUGGGCGGCGUGGCGUCCGGGUGAUCUGCAGCCGCGAACGCGCGUGUGCACUCUCCACAUGAUGGGCAGAGUGUCCGCGUGACUCGAACGCAUCCCACCCAUCCCCCUCUCCCCGCCCCCGGCCCUCGCACGGCCCACUGGUGUGGGGAGGCCUGAGCCGCCCCGAGGAGAGGGGGGUGGGGGUAGGCUGCACCAGGGGGUGGCAGCCGGCACAGCGGGGGAGCGGCUGUGAGGCGACCUGCGAGGCGGUGGGUGAGCGGGUAGAGCUGGAGGGCGGGGGCCGUGCCCCAUAUGACCGAGUCGGCGCAUCUGGUGCGAUGCGUGCGUGUCUGUGGCAUGCGCUGCACCACGCUGGGGGGGAUGGCCUGUGGCAGGGUAGGGAUGGGGCUGGCGUUGAGCUCCUGCUGUGCCGCAGAGCAACGGACACACGUUGAAGAACUACUCUCCGCUGUCUCUAUGUUUGUCCAUUGCGUUGCAGAACUCAGAGCACAGCAGUAAUCACGCCUCUCCAAACGUGUUGCAAAAAUUCUCGCCGAUGGUUCAUGGCGUUUCGCGAGAGACAACAGAAGGGACUCAAAACAGGGCCUCCGGAUAUGUCAUGUAAGCAAGCGAGAGCGUUGAGGCUUCGCUGCCUUGUACUGCAGGCGCCUCCCCUCUCGCUUCUUCUAUCUCCGCCGAUGCGCAUCUUGCGGUUUUUCGCGCUCUAGUCUGCUCGCCGCCCGUCGACUGCGCGCGUGGGCACCGUGGAGGAGGGCGUGCUUUGGUAUGCAUGCUUGUGACUAUGAUUCACGUUGACUUGUGCACUCUUGCCUUCUCUGACGAUCACCUCUGCCGUCUGCGCUGACGUGUGCCCGCACGCCUACUGCCGAUAACUGACAGAGUGCCGCUGGCGUUUUCCCUUUGUCUUUGCUGUGUCGUUCUCCUCGCAUCCCUUCGUGCGUCGUAUCGGCUUUGCAGGAUCUGGGGGUGAUUGGUAGGCAUCCGCCCAUCAAACACGCCUGCCGGCCAUACUCACCGCCUUCUCCCUCUCGUUUUCACUCUGUCUCUCGCUUCGCCCACACAUUCUCAUUGCUGCACCUCGCCCUCCCUCCUCCCGCGUAG